RNAcentral lists this ribosomal RNA (497 nucleotides) under uncultured bacterium. Its description in RNAcentral is "partial 16S ribosomal RNA". It matches the Rfam family "Bacterial small subunit ribosomal RNA", at positions 28 to 507 of the family's 1533-position model. The record is from RNAcentral.
GAUGAACGCUGGCGGCGUGCCUAAUACAUGCAAGUCGAGCGAACAGACGAGGAGCUUGCUCCUCUGACGUUAGCGGCGGAAGGGUGAGUAACACGUGGAUAACCUACCUAUAAGACUGGGAUAACUUCGGGAAACCGGAGCUAAUACCGGAUAAUAUAUUGAACCGCAUGGUUCAAUAGUGAAAGACGGUUUUGCUGUCACUGAUAGAUUGAUCCGCGCCGCAUUAGCUAGUUGGUAAGGUAACGGCUUACCAAGGCAACGAUGCGUAGCCGAUCUGAGAGGGUGAUCGGCCACACUGGAACUGAGACACGGUCCAGACUCCUACGGGAGGCAGCAGUAGGGAAUCUUCCGCAAUGGGCGAAAGCCUGACGGAGCAACGCCGCGUGCGUGAUGAAGGUCUUCGGAUCGUAAAACUCUGUUGUUCGGGAAGAACAGAUUUGUAAGUAACUAUGCACGUCUUGACGGUACCUAAUCAGAAAGCCACGGCUAACUACGUG